Molecule: ribosomal RNA, 460 nt
Filed under: uncultured bacterium
Lineage: Bacteria
Description: partial 16S ribosomal RNA
Rfam family: Bacterial small subunit ribosomal RNA
Source: RNAcentral
CCUACGGGAGGCAGCAGUGAGGAAUAUUGGUCAAUGGGCGCGAGCCUGAACCAGCCAAGUAGCGUGAAGGAUGAAUGCCCUACGGGUUGUAAACUUCUUUUAUACAGGAAUAAAGUGAGGCACGUGUGCCUUUUUGUAUGUACUUUAUGAAUAAGGAUCGGCUAACUCCGUGCCAGCAGCCGCGGUAAUACGGAGGAUCCGGGCGUUAUCCGGAUUUAUUGGGUUUAAAGGGAGCGUAGAUGGGUUGUUAAGUCAGUUGGGAAAAUUUGCGGCUCAAACGGAAAAUGGCAAUUGAAACUGGCAGCCUUGAGUUCAGGUGAGGCAGGCGGAAUUCGUGGUGUAGCGGUGAAAUGCUUAGAUAUCACGAAGAACUCCGAUUGCGAAGGCAGCCUACCAAACUGCCACUGACAUUGAUGCUCGAAAGUGUGGGUAUCAAACAGGAUUAGAUACCCUGGUAGUC